AGGCUUUGAUCCUGGCUCAGGAUGAACGCUAGCGGCAGGCUUAAUACAUGCAAGUCGAACGGUAACAGGUCCAGCAAUGGAUGCUGACGAGUGGCGCACGGGUGCGUAACACGUAUGCAACCUACCCACCACCGGGGGAUAACCCUGAGAAAUUAGGGCUAAUACCCCAUGGUAUCAACGAGCGGCAUCGUUUGUUGAUUAAAGAUUAAUCGGUGAUGGAUGGGCAUGCGCCCCAUUAGCUAGUUGGUGAGGUAACGGCUCACCAAGGCCACGAUGGGUAGGGGACCUGAGAGGGUUAUCCCCCACACUGGUACUGAGACACGGACCAGACUCCUACGGGAGGCAGCAGUAAGGAAUAUUGGGCAAUGGUCGAGAGACUGACCCAGCCAUGCCGCGUGCAGGAAGACGGCCCUACGGGUUGUAAACUGCUUUUGCACGGGAAUAAUCGCCCCGACGUGUCGGGGUUUGCAGGUACCGUGCGAAUAAGCAUCGGCGUAAAUCCG
RNAcentral lists this ribosomal RNA (503 nucleotides) under uncultured Bacteroidota bacterium. Its description in RNAcentral is "bacterial SSU rRNA". It matches the Rfam family "Bacterial small subunit ribosomal RNA", at positions 8 to 505 of the family's 1533-position model. Lineage: Bacteria; Pseudomonadati; Bacteroidota. The record is from RNAcentral.